UCUUGAAGGAUGUAAUUUUGAGUGUGUACAGGAAACGGGGGGCCGCAGGGGAGUCUUAAGGGUCCCCUGUGAGUGACAAGGGCAAGUCUUAUUUCCAGCUUGGUCCAGUCUGCCAGCCUUGUCAAUGAAAUACCAGGAUUCCCUUCCUGAAUGCUCCAUAGUGGAAUCAGGCAGAAUGCUUCUGAGAUUCAUCCGUGUUGUCCGUCGGUAGAUGGUCUGCUCCUUUUGAUUGCUGACUCGUACGUAAUUUAUCCUAUGAAUGAAUGAGCCACCGUUUGAUCCAUUCCCCAGGUUACACACCAGGAGUGGGACUGCAGGAUCGUACGAGUGUGUGUUUAACAUCAUGGGAAACUGCCAUGCCGUUUUUCAGAGCGGCUGCACCAUUUCACAUUCCCACUAGUGACGUAGGAGCCUGAUAGCUGCUCUGCAUUCCCACAUCUGCUUUUUCUCAUCAUUGAAUUUCUACCAUCAAGCAUAGAACAUGGCACUGGGGCCGCCAGCCUGUACAUAUAGAUUUUGCAGCCUGGAUUUUCACUUGACAUCCUAUCAGAAGCUUUUCCCUAUGUCGGACUCAGUCCCUGGUAACCGCUGCGGAGUCGGGGCAUGUGUAUAUUAGGAUGUUAUUUCAAUGAAGAAAUACGUGAGGCUGGGUAAUUUACAGAGAAAAGAGGUUCCAUUGGCUGGUGGUUCUGCAGGCUGUACGAGCAUGGCACAGGCAUGUUUCUGGGGAGGCCUCAGGAAGCUUCCAAUCAUGGCGGAAGGCAAAGGCGGGCAGGUGUAUCACAUGGUGAGGGAGAGAGCAAAAAGGGGGCGUCCCAGGCUCUUAAACCACCAGAUGUGGCAUGAACUACCUGAGGGAGAACUCACUCUUCACCAAGGGGCUGGCGCUAAACUAUUCCUGAGGGACCCACCCCCAGGAUUUAAUCACCUCCCACAGGGCCCACCUCCAACAUGGGAAUCCUAUUUCAACACGAGAUUUGGAGGGGACAAACCUCCCACAUCAGCACACAUCCAUUCAGCAGAUGGGUUGUGAGCCCCCGGGUAUGGGAGGCUGUGACAAGCAAGGAGACUAAUCGGGCUGUGCUCUGGCUGGGAAGAUGGACCCCACCCAGGGUCAUUUCAGAUGGGGCAAUACACAGUGGUGGGGAGGGAGAUCUGGGUGGUGUCCCUUGGGGGCCUCUCAAAGGAAGGGACAUUGGGACUGGGACCUGGAUGACCACCAGGAGUCUGCUGGAGCUGCAGGGACAUGUGUGGCACAUUGGAAAGUCACAUGAGAAAGGGGAAAGGCCUAUUUUGGAACAAGACCCCCCCCCCGGAUUGAGUGAGGGAUGGAACAUGGGACGAGGGGGACAUGAGGGAUCUCAGAUGCCUGCAAGUCUCCUUCCUGGGCCUUUGGGCAGGUGGUGGUGCCAUAUACAGUGUCAGAGAAGGAAGGAUCAUGCUUAGGCUGCUGCCCCUGCUCCCCGCUUGAUAUGAUUUGGCUCUGUGUCCCCAUACAAAUCUCAUCUCGAAUUAUAAUCCCCAUGUGUCAAUGGAGGGAGGUGAUGGAUCAUGGGGGCGGUUCCUCCCAUGCUGUUCUCAUGAUAGUGAGUUCUCACAAGAUCUGAUGAUUCUAUAAGUGCUUGACAGUUUCUCCUUCAAAGUCUCCCUCUCUCUCUCCUGCCACCAUGUAAAACAUGCCUGCUUCCCCUUUUGCCAUGAUCGUAAGGUUCCUGAGACCUCUCCAGCCAAGCAGAACUGUGAGUCAACUAAACCUCCUUCUUUAUAAAUUACCCCAUCUUGGGUAUUUCUUUAUAGCAGAAUGAGAGCAGACUAACACGUGCCCUCUCCCCAGAGCCAGCAUUCAGCAGGAAGGAGGAAGGAGUACUUUCUGCUUCUCUUUCACUAGUCAGGAUAAAGAGGGAUGGUGCCAGAGGAGGAUAAAGAGUUAAUUUCAUUCCAAUAAAAAUGGGACCCUUGAAAUUUAUUUAAAAUAUCAUUGUUUGCUCUUUCAGAUUGCAAAAACAACUACUAGUCAUUAUGGAAACGUGUAAAAAUAUUAAAAAGUACAAAGAAGAGAACAGUAGUUCCUCAUGAUCCCAUUGCCCAGAGACCCACCGAGGCCUUUCUGAGUAUUCCUUAUAGUAAGACCUUCAUCAGUGUCUGUGUCUGCAUUUAUUCAUUCCUUCAAUGGACUUUUUGAGCACCCACUACGUGCCAGUCAUUUUUCUAGAUGCAAAGGAUGUAGCAGGGAAUAAAAACACAAAAAAAUCCCAUCAUGAUGGAGCUGACAUUCUAGUGAGGGCCACAAACAAAAUGUUCAGUAAAUGAUGUAGUACAGUCUAUUCUAAGGGUACAAGUGCUGUGAGAAAUGAAAGCAGGGAACCCUGAGGAGGGUGCUCAAUGGGGUUUGGAUUUUAAGUGGGGCACUCAGGGAAGGUGUCACUGAGAGGUGACAUUUGAGCAGAGGCUUGAAUUUUUGGAGGGAGCGAAGGCAACUGUAGGGAAGGGGAGAGAGGACAGCAGGUACAAAGGCCCCCCAGGAGGUGGGCCUGGGUGGUUCAGGAGGCACAAGAAGGCCAAUUGGUGGGU
Molecule: non-coding RNA, 2571 nt
Organism: Callithrix jacchus (white-tufted-ear marmoset)
Lineage: Eukaryota; Metazoa; Chordata; Mammalia; Primates; Cebidae
Source: RefSeq, a predicted model, not a curated record